This 959-nucleotide ribosomal RNA is filed under the name Kribbella sp. V3M4. Its description in RNAcentral is "bacterial SSU rRNA". It matches the Rfam family "Bacterial small subunit ribosomal RNA", at positions 289 to 1254 of the family's 1533-position model. The record is from RNAcentral. Lineage: Bacteria; Bacillati; Actinomycetota; Actinomycetes; Propionibacteriales; Kribbellaceae.
GGCCUGAGAGGGCGACCGGCCACACUGGGACUGAGACACGGCCCAGACUCCUACGGGAGGCAGCAGUGGGGAAUAUUGCACAAUGGACGAAAGUCUGACGCAGCAACGCCGCGUGAGGGAUGACGGCCUUCGGGUUGUAAACCUCUUUCACCAGGGACGAAGCGAGAGUGACGGUACCUGCAUAAGAAGGACCGGCUAACUACGUGCCAGCAGCCGCGGUAAUACGUACGGUCCGAGCGUUGUCCGGAAUUAUUGGGCGUAAAGGGCUCGUAGGCGGUUCGUCACGUCGGGAGUGAAAUCUCGGGGCUUAACCCCGAGCCUGCUUCCGAUACCGGCAGACUUGAGGUAGGUAGGGGAGAGCGGAACUCCUGGUGUAGCGGUGAAAUGCGCAGAUAUCAGGAAGAACACCGGUGGCGAAGGCGGCUCUCUGGGCCUUACCUGACGCUGAGGAGCGAAAGCGUGGGUAGGGAACAGGACAAGAUAACAUGGUAGUCCACUCCGUCAACGUUGGGCGCUAGGUGUGGGGGGCGUUACAUGUCCUUUGUGCCGCAGGUAACGCAUUAAGCGAACCGCCUGCGGAGUGCGGCCGCAAGGCUAAAACUCAAAUGAAAUGACGGGGGCCCGCACCACCGGCGCAGCAUGCGGAUUAAUUUGAUUCAACGCGAAGAACAUUACCUGGGUUUGACAUAUAGGGAAAUCCAACAGAGAAGGGGGGUCCGUAAGGGUCCUAUACAGGUGGAGCAUGGCUGUCGUCAGCUAGUGUCGUGAGAUGUUGGGAUAAGGAGGUCAACGAGCGCAACCCUCCUCCUUCGUUUCCAGCACGCCCUUCGGGGUGGUGGGGACUCAUAGGAGACUGCCGGGGUCAAAUAGGAGGAAGGGGGGGAUGACAUCUCAUCAUCAUGCCCCUUAUCACCAGGGCUUCACACAUGCUACAAUGGCCGGUACAAAGGGCUGUGAUA